AACACAGGUGCUGCAUGGCUGUCGUCAGCUCGUGUCGUGAGAUGUUGGGUUAAGUCCCGCAACGAGCGCAACCCUCGCCCUUAGUUGCCAUCAUUCAGUUGGGCACUCUAGGGGGACUGCCGGUGAUAAGCCGAGAGGAAGGUGGGGAUGACGUCAAGUCCUCAUGGCCCUUACGGGCUGGGCUACACACGUGCUACAAUGGCGGUGACAGUGGGAAGCGAACCCGCGAGGGUAAGCAAAUCUCCAAAAGCCGUCUCAGUUCGGAUUGCACUCUGCAACUCGAGUGCAUGAAGUUGGAAUCGCUAGUAAUCGUGGAUCAGCAUGCCACGGUGAAUACGUUCCCGGGCCUU
Molecule: ribosomal RNA, 350 nt
Filed under: uncultured Ancylobacter sp.
Lineage: Bacteria; Pseudomonadati; Pseudomonadota; Alphaproteobacteria; Hyphomicrobiales; Xanthobacteraceae
Description: bacterial SSU rRNA
Rfam family: Bacterial small subunit ribosomal RNA
Source: RNAcentral